Molecule: unclassified non-coding RNA, 2265 nt
Filed under: Hevea brasiliensis (rubber tree)
Lineage: Eukaryota; Viridiplantae; Streptophyta; Magnoliopsida; Malpighiales; Euphorbiaceae
Source: RNAcentral
UGAAAAACCCCUUCGUCCCUUCGAUGCAAUCCUCUCGUGACACCGACCAUAACCACAGAUUUCUUCACUUCACUGCGCCAUAGCCAUUCUAGAGACUCACGCUCACUGCAUUCCCAUUUUGUCUGAGAAACUGCUUUGUUUGAGAGAAUUAUGACAGGCAUUGUCAUGAUUACCAAGGGAGGUGGCUGCGCUGGUGGAGUUAGGGGGGCAAAGGGUACCAGAGCCAGCGAAGACGAGCAAAACCAGUUGUCAAUGGUGGCGAUUCUCUUGGCAGCUAUAAGGAAAUCUUUGGUGUCUUGCCGUUUUGAGGAGAGAGAAGAUGUGAUUCCUGCCGUUCAUCAUAUGGAGAUCGGCUGGCCUACAAAUGUUCAGCACAUUACGCAUGUGACGUUCGAUCGCUUCAAUGGGUUUCUGGGUUUGCCCGUGGAAUUCGAAGUCGAGAUCCCGUGUCGAGUCCCAAGUGCUAGUGCUAGUGUGUUUGGAGUCUCAGCAGAAUCAAUGCAAUGUUCUUUUGAUUCAAAAGGGAAUAGUGUCCCAACAAUUAUCUUGCUAAUGCAGGAGAGGCUGUACUCACAGGGAGGCCUAAAGGCAGAAGGGAUUUUUCGCAUAAACCCAGAGAAUGGCCAAGAGGAGAACGUGAGGGACCAGCUGAACAGGGGAAUUGUGCCUGAUGAUAUUGAUGUACAUUGCUUGGCGGGCCUUAUAAAAGCCUGGUUUAGAGAGCUUCCUUCCGGAGUGCUGGAUGGGCUUUCCCCUGAACAAGUUCUCCAAUGUAAAACUGAAAAAGAAUGCGUUGAGCUUGUGAAGCAGCUAAAGCCAACAGAAUCUGCGUUGCUCAAUUGGGCCAUUGACCUCAUGACUGAUGUUGUCCAGGAAGAAAAUUCCAAUAAAAUGAAUGCCAGAAAUAUUGCAAUGAUUUUUGCUCCAAACAUGACUCAGAUGUCUGAUCCAUUAACGGCAUUGAUGCAUGCCGUACAAGUAAUGAACUUGCUCAAGACUCUUAUCACGAAAACACUAAGAGAACGUGAAGAAACUGAAACUGGAGGAUAUUCGCCCAUGUCAUUUCAUUCAUCUGGUCAACAAACUGAUGAGGAUUUUGAAAGUCAGCAAGAGAUGGAUACCAGUUGUGAACUGAGACAGGCACCCUCAGAUCAUUAUGAAGAAGAUCGUGCCCAUUAUAGCCCUCAUAAUGAAGAUGAUGAUGAAACUGAGUCAUUGAUUGAGAUAGAAGAUUGCUUCUUGAGGCCACUGGAUGAGAACAGAACUGGCUAUAUAUUUUUUCAGCAAGCACCAGCUGAUUUACCCAGAGAAUUUGCAUCUCCCGGAACCUGCUCAGCGUUUAAAGUGGAAUCUGGCAUCUCAUUUACUGAUAGCAGAAGUGAAAAUUCCAGUUCAGCUACAAGUGACGGAGAAGACUCCAGGGAAAGUAUGAUAGCUGUAGGCCAAGAAAUUGGUAGAAGAAGCGCAAAAGGAUGUGAAAACUCUGAUGAUGUAAAGACAGUUGACAAAUUAGCUGAGUCUGUCUUGCCCACGCAAUCGAUUAUCUAGGCUUUUUUUUUUCUUGAAAGUGCUUAGGAGAAUACUUCGUUCCAGAGUUUGGUUUGGUCUCUAGUGUCGCGGUUGCAUCUGUACAUUAAUGCUGCAUUAAUUGUCUGGGCUUUGGAGUAUUCAAGUGUUGUUGAUUGUUAGAGAGUCAUGGUUCAGCUUUGGGCUGAACCUUGUGCUUGUUUUGUGAGUUUCAGAUAGAAGCUGAAAACUCUUGUAUGUUUCUGUAGUGUGGAUUUGUAUUCUAAACCUUGACGUUCUUACGCUGGAAUGUUUAAUGUAUGCGAGUCUAAUUCCAUGUCUCUAUCAAAAGGAUAUGCAGAAGUCUACAUGCUCAAUUCCUACGUCGCUUGGUUCAACUUUAUAGGGAAGUCGUCCAUGUUACGUUUGUUUGAUUUCAAAGAAGAGUGGGUCCAUCAUCCAUGUUUCGUUUAAGAUGAAACCAUAAAACUAGCUGGGGCCCGUCUUGGCAAUUUUAGACUUGAAUGACUCAUAUAUGAUGUACCCAAGUGUAAUUCCAUGCCUGUAUCUUUAGAUAUGCAGAAGUCUUUGAUGCUGAAUUCCUGAAUUUGUUGUGGAUAAUUUUCAGUCAUAUUAUUCACUGUCUGUAAGGCUUUCAUGAGGCUGGCUAGCAAGGGAUCGAACUUUUGCUUUGUUGGCUUAAAUGGGUUGUGUUCAUAUUAGAAAAUCAAACAGAAAAGGAUAUGAGUAUGAAUCUAC